This 481-nucleotide ribosomal RNA is filed under the name uncultured bacterium. RNAcentral describes it as "partial 16S ribosomal RNA". It matches the Rfam family "Bacterial small subunit ribosomal RNA", at positions 29 to 507 of the family's 1533-position model. The record is from RNAcentral.
AUGCACGCUAGCGGCAGGCCUCAUCCCUGCCAGUCGGACGGGAUUCAGGAGCUUGCUUCUGCUGAGAGUGGCGCACGGGUGCGUAACACGUAUGUAACCUACCUUUAUCAGGGGGAUAGCCUCUCGAAAGAGAGAUUAAGCCCGCAUAAAAUCACAGCACAGCAUUGUGUAAUGAUCAAAUAUUUAUAGGAUAAAGAUGGGCAUGCGGAACAUUAGCUAGAUGGCGGGGUAACGGCCCACCAUGGCGACGAUGUUUAGGGGAUCUGAGAGGAUGGCCCCCCACACUGGUACUGAGACACGGACCAGACUCCUACGGGAGGCAGCAGUAAGGAAUAUUGGUCAAUGGGCGGAAGCCUGAACCAGCCAUGCCGCGUGCAGGAAGACGGCCCUACGGGUUGUAAACUGCUUUUAGACGGGAAUAAACCCAGAUACGUGUAUCUGGCUGAAUGUACUGUAAGAAUAAGGAUCGGCUAACUCCGUG